ACAUCUAUCAAUAUCAAACUUUGGCCUCAGAUGACAAAACCUACAGUACAAAUACACACACUAUAAAAUCCAAUAGUUUACCUUACUUAAAUAUAAUAAGUUAUCUUUACUUAGUUGUUUUACUUACUAGGUUUUAUUAAGUUACUGCUAAUUUUAAGGCGAAUAAAACAACUUGCUGCAAUGAGUAAUUCUUACUUGAAAUAUUCAAGUAGCUACAACAAAACCGAUGACAUUACUUCACCAGUGAGAGGCAGCAGUGCGCUAAUGUGUUGCUAAUGCGCAACAAAACAACAGAAGAAGAAAGAAGGAUGGUUAGAGAGCAUGCCCAGCAAGCGAUGUUUUGAAUUUCUGCGUCGAAUUUGCUGAAACUAGGAAGAAGUAGAGAGACUGCUUGCAUUUUACCUCUGGACAAAGACUGAAUACUUCUACAGAAUAAUAAUAAGGAAAAAAGCUUGUGGCAACUAUCUUCUCUGAACAGCGAUCUUGUGAACAUGGGCCUCAGAACAAUAAAGGCAAGAGGACACUUCACACCCUACAACCCGUAAAAAUAACCCAGAUUCGACAGAACUACACACCCAUCUGAGGCCUACCUGUUUUACUUCAUGAUCACCCCAGAUAAUUCUACAAUUUACCCGCUUUUGUGCAUCUUCAUGACACGAAUGAAGAUAUAUAACCCAAAUCUCUGACACCCAAGAAACCAUCAAAUCAGUCUAUAUGAAUGGAGCUGAUUAAUCUACAUUUUGGGCCAAACUGUUCAAUGAAUUGUAAGGAGCAGUUUCAGUUAUAUUUCCACUUGAACUCUGUUAGGCAUGGUCUGAUGAACUGUUCUUGAUCCAGAGCUCUUAGCUGAACACUGAACCGUGCUGUAGAACACCUGGAGUGAUGUCGCUGCUCAGGGUUGGUCGUUUUUCUUUUGUCUAGCCACCAGUUUCUCUGUAGCUGGCCAACAUGCUAUUUGAGUGAAGUAAACAAGUUAAUAGUAAAAUUAAAAGAAAUAUUUAAUCUUUCAUAACAUGGGUGCUAUUUACAUCAGGUACGAUUUCUUAACUAUUGCAUUACUAAGGCAAUGACUGACACAUUUAUGUUGCAUUCAAAAGAGCUCUGUUAACAGCCCAACAGUGAAAAAUUAAACUAUAUCCGUAUUGUCACAGCAUGGAAUGGUUAAGCAUUGAGAAUUAAGAAUGGUUUGGUCUGACAGUGGAAAAGCGGCUCAAGUCUUCAAAAGAGACACGAUUGCUAUAUGAUCAACUGUCUAAAGUGUUGGGUAUAUAGACAUUCAGUUAAAGGACAGAAAUUUCUCAGAUUUCACUGAAAAUGUCUUUAUUUGUGUUCUGAAAAUAAACAAAAGUCAUGGGUGAGUAAAUGAUGACAUGAAUUUCAAGUUUGGGUGAACUAACACAAUGUCAUGGCAGUGUAGGCAGGACAGAUAACACUGAAAACUGAUCAUCCACAUUUCCCU
Molecule: long non-coding RNA, 1459 nt
Organism: Cyprinus carpio (common carp)
Lineage: Eukaryota; Metazoa; Chordata; Actinopteri; Cypriniformes; Cyprinidae
Exons: 5
Source: RefSeq, a predicted model, not a curated record